RNAcentral lists this non-coding RNA (148 nucleotides) under Chlorocebus sabaeus (green monkey). The record is from Rfam by way of RNAcentral. Lineage: Eukaryota; Metazoa; Chordata; Mammalia; Primates; Cercopithecidae.
GCCGGGUGUGGUGGCGGGUGCCUGUAAUCCAAACCACUCAGGAGGCUGAGGCAGGAGAAUUGCUUGAACCUGGGAGGCAUAGGUUGUAGUGAGCUGAGAUCAUGCCACUGCACUCUAGCCUGGGCAACAGAGCAAGACUCUGUCUCAA